This 1119-nucleotide long non-coding RNA is filed under the name Homo sapiens (human). RNAcentral describes it as "HSALNT0294763". The record is from RNAcentral. Lineage: Eukaryota; Metazoa; Chordata; Mammalia; Primates; Hominidae.
CGCGCACUGCCCGCUGGGCAUUGGAGUCUCUCCUCCGCCCUCCACUUGUCGGCCGUUCUUCGUCCAGAGAUGAACAUGCCGGAAGCGGCCGUUCCCAGCUUUUCUCCGCAGGCCUCUCCAACCGAGCUUCUAUUGUAAAGCACCCUAUGCCGCGCAAAGCGUCAUGGGAGCUGUAGUUCCGCCGCGCCCCCGCCGCGUCCCCGGCUCUGAGUGGAGGAGUGGAAAGGGAGCGUGCGCGAAGUCACGCUUCUGGCUGCGACGCAACCGCCGCUGGGCGGUGAGUUGCCGCCAACCGCCCUAACGGCCGAAACAAUGUUAAUGGCUUUCAGAGUCUGGCGGCGCGUUCCCAUUAUCAUCUUCCUGUGACCCUUCCUCAUUUUACACGGAGGAGGUGGUCUCCACAGUGAUUUUAAAUUUAAUAUUUCUCUCAUAACCUUUGUGAGAUAAAAGAAUCUUCAUCCUUUUAACUUUGACGAGGGAUGAAAUGAAGUUUUCCACAACAUUUGGGAAGAUUUACAAGGUAUACUCCAUUUAGGCAAAAAUAACUGUCAGGGAAUAGUCAUUGUCAAGAGCAGUUUGUAUUGCAACCCACAAAUUAUACCUCUAUGUCGGUCCAGAAAUCCUUCAAUUUACCAAGAGAUUAUGUUUGAAAAUCUUAGAAAAAAUAAACAAUCCUGAAAAACUAAGUAGGCAGAGCCCAUAUCUGUUCUGUUCACCAUCAUAUACCAAGUGCCUUACAGAAUGCCUGGAACAUAGUAGACACUCAACAAAUAUUCAUUGAAUGAAUGAAUGAAUGACACUAGGCUUAGAUACUAGCUUAAAAUAACAGAAGAAGAAUCCUAAUUUCAUUAAAAGUAGGACCAGCUUUACAGACCAGUGGGAGAUCCAGGCUACAGGGAGAACACAUGGAAUUCCAGAAUCAUGAACCAUCUGGAAGGGGCUGAGGACACAUAUGAAGUACAGUCUAAAGCUUCAGGAUCAAUUUUGGGAGCCAGAUGUUCUUCAUUUAACGGCAAAAGACCAGAGGAUCAAGGUUUCUGACUAGUCCUGCUUCCCCCUACUCCCAUGUGAACUUUGAAUUCAGUUUAUCUAGUUCCAGAAAUAAACAAGUUGGUAGUU